RNAcentral lists this ribosomal RNA (533 nucleotides) under Rhizobium sp. RNAcentral describes it as "bacterial SSU rRNA". It matches the Rfam family "Bacterial small subunit ribosomal RNA", at positions 192 to 745 of the family's 1533-position model. The record is from RNAcentral. Lineage: Bacteria; Pseudomonadati; Pseudomonadota; Alphaproteobacteria; Hyphomicrobiales; Rhizobiaceae.
CCCUACGGGGGAAAGAUUUAUCGGGGAAGGAUUGGCCCGCGUUGGAUUAGCUAGUUGGUGGGGUAAAGGCCUACCAAGGCGACGAUCCAUAGCUGGUCUGAGAGGAUGAUCAGCCACAUUGGGACUGAGACACGGCCCAAACUCCUACGGGAGGCAGCAGUGGGGAAUAUUGGACAAUGGGCGCAAGCCUGAUCCAGCCAUGCCGCGUGAGUGAUGAAGGCCUUAGGGUUGUAAAGCUCUUUCACCGAUGAAGAUAAUGACGGUAGUCGGAGAAGAAGCCCCGGCUAACUUCGUGCCAGCAGCCGCGGUAAUACGAAGGGGGCUAGCGUUGUUCGGAAUUACUGGGCGUAAAGCGCACGUAGGCGGAUAUUUAAGUCAGGGGUGAAAUCCCGCAGCUCAACUGCGGAACUGCCUUUGAUACUGGGUAUCUUGAGUAUGGAAGAGGUAAGUGGAAUUCCGAGUGUAGAGGUGAAAUUCGUAGAUAUUCGGAGGAACACCAGUGGCGAAGGCGGCUUACUGGUCCAUUACUGACG